UAAUACGGAGGGGGCAAGCGUUGUUCGGAAUUAUUGGGCGUAAAGGGCGCGUAGGCGGCUGUGCAAGUCAAAGGUGAAAUCCCUCGGCUCAACCGAGGAACUGCCUCUGAUACUGCAUAGCUUGAGUCCCGGAGAGGGUGGCGGAAUUCCCAGUGUAGCGGUGAAAUGCGUAGAUAUUGGGAGGAACACCAGUGGCGAAGGCGGCCACCUGGACGGGUACUGACGCUGAGGCGCGAAAGCGUGGGGAGCAAACAGGAUUAGAUACCCUGGUAGUCCACGCUGUAAACGAUGAACACUUGGUGUUGCGGGUAUUGACCCCUGCAGUGCCGAAGCUAACGCAUUAAGUGUUCCGCCUGGGGAGUACGGUCGCAAGGCUG
This 377-nucleotide ribosomal RNA is filed under the name uncultured Anaerolineae bacterium. RNAcentral's name for it is "bacterial SSU rRNA". It matches the Rfam family "Bacterial small subunit ribosomal RNA", at positions 521 to 896 of the family's 1533-position model. The record is from RNAcentral. Lineage: Bacteria; Bacillati; Chloroflexota; Anaerolineae.